Molecule: ribosomal RNA, 3138 nt
Filed under: Triticum aestivum (bread wheat)
Lineage: Eukaryota; Viridiplantae; Streptophyta; Magnoliopsida; Poales; Poaceae
Description: partial small subunit ribosomal RNA
Source: RNAcentral
AUGGACGACUUCGUGCUCCGCUCCGGCGUGCGCGUGGGGCUGAAGCGGGAGUUCGCCUUCGCCAUCGCCUCCCAGGCCGCCCUCGCCCCCUCCCUCGGCCGCACCCGCUCCUCCCGCUCAUCCACCGCCGCCGCCGUCCUCUCCCCGCCGACCACCAAGCCCAAGCCCUCCUCCCGCUCCUCCAAGCGCUCCCGCCCAUCGGCCUCGGCGCCGGCCAAGCGCGCCCGCUCGCGGCCCCCGGAUCCGGACCCCGCCGCCGCGGAUCCGCCGCGGGAUCCUCCUCCUCCCCCCGCCGCCGCCGACGCGGAUGUGCCGGUUGACGCACCGUUCGCUGCCGCCACGCCCAUCGCAAACGGGCCCCAACUGCCUCCCGCCGCCGCCGACGGGGAUGCGCCGGUGCGCGCCCCGCUCGCUGCCGCCUCGCCCACCGCAAACGGGCCCCAGCCGCCUCCCGCCGCCGCCGUCGCCGUCGCCGGGGAUGAGCCGGUGCUCGCCCUAUUCGCCGCCAACGCGCCCACCACAAGCGCGCCCCAACCGCCUCCGCAGCAGAGGCAGCAGGAGGAGGCCUUCUUCAUCCCGCCGGAGACGCCGCCCAGGCGGGUCACCCGCUCCAUGCUCUCCCCUGCCCCCGCCCCCGCCACCGCUCCCCCCCAGCCCGCCAGACCCAGACCCAAACCCAAACCCAUGCUCAAGCCCAAGCAGGAGCCCGUGGACGAGCCCACCGACCACCUCCAGCCCUACCCCGGGGGACUCACCGGAGGCGUAGCAAGCCCGGCCUCGCCGCGCCGCUUCACCAGGUCGCUCUUGCAACAGGUCAAGCAGCCGCCCACCGACGACGGCGACAACGACGAGUCAGGCACCACCACCGCCAGCAGCUCCCCGUCGCCCUCCCCCAAGAGCAAGAGCACCAAGCGCGGCGCCAGCCUCAAGGCCAAGUCAGAGGGGCCAGAUGGAAUCCCCAAGAACCUCAGGGAGCUCUUCGCCACCGGCUUGCUCGAGGGCCAGCCCGUCAACUACUUCAUGAACAAGGGGAAGCGACCAGUACUCCGUGGAGUCAUCAAAGACACCGGCAUAUUGUGCUCUUGCACUUCAUGUAAAGGCCGAAAUGUCGUUUCACCUUUUUAUUUCGAGGUGCAUGCCGGGAGUCAUAAAAAGCGACCCUCCGAUUACAUUUUCCUGGAAAGUGGAAAUACUCUGCAUGAUGUAUUGAGGGCGUGCACGGAUGCUACCGUAGACACACUGGAAUCUGCAAUACUGGGAGCAAUAGGCCCUGUGCCUAAGAAGAGGACAGUGACGUGCCAGGACUGCAAAAGUUCGUUCAAAACUUCCCGCGCUGGAAAAUUUGCUUCCUUCUGCGAGAUAUGUCUGGAGUCUAAGGAAGUUCAGAGUACGGCAAGGCCGAGAGGACGGCCACCUAAGAAUCUCUCCCCAGGGACGAAAACCACAAGUGCAGCAAGCCCAACUUCAUCAUAUGGAGCGAAGACCACACGCGCAGGAAGUCCAACUUCAUACGGCAGGGUGCCUAGGAAUUUCUACCCAGUAGCCAAGACAAUAAGUGCAGCAGCAAGCCCAACUUCAUCUGGCAGGGUGCCUAAGAAUUUCUCCCCAGGAUCGAAGCCUACAAGUGCAGGAAGAAUUACAAGAAAGGACCAUGGCUUGCACAAGUUGGUUUUCAUGAGUGGUGUUUUGGCAGAGGGCACAGACGUCGGCUAUUAUGUCCAGGGAAAGAGGUUGCUGGAUGGCCACAUAACGGAACAUGGAAUCUAUUGUUAUUGCUGCAACACAGUGGUUAGCCCUUCACAGUUUGAAGGCCACGCUGGCCGAGCUGCUCGACGCAAACCUUACCACAACAUAUACAUUUCCAAUGGCGUUUCACUACACGAGCUGUCGGUUUCUCUUUCAAAAGGCCGAAAACCUUCAGAAAAGCAGAACGAUGACUUAUGCACCAUCUGUUCAGAUGGCGGGGAGCUUCUUCUUUGUGACUCCUGUCCGAGAGCUUUUCACAGAGAAUGUGUUGGCUUGUCUUCUGUACCGAAGGGAGCUUGGUGUUGCCGGUAUUGUGAAAAUAGGCAACAGAGAGAAGGUUAUUUGGCAUACAACAACAAUGCAAUAGCCGCUGGGAGGGUCGAUGGAGUUGAUUCCAUCGGACAAAUAUUUAUGCGGUCGAUCCGUAUUGCCACAGCACCUCAGGGUGCAUUUGGUGGAUGCGCAUUGUGCAAGCAACAUGAUUUUGGCAAAAGGAAAUUUAGCGAACGAACUGUGCUGCUCUGUGAUCAAUGUGGGAGGGAAUAUCACGUUGGAUGCCUGAAAGAACACAACAUGGCUGACUUGACGGCAUUGCCCGAGGGAGCAUGGUUUUGUUCCACUGUAUGUGUGGAGAUCUGCGAGGCACUGAAGGACCUAGUCAGUCGUGGAGCAGAACCUGUUCCUGCCGUGGAUGCUGAUCUCAUAAAGAAGAAGCGUGCGGAGAAAGGUUUGAACGACGAUGGCGACCUUGAUGUUAGAUGGAGGGUUUUGAGGGACAAAAGUUCAGAAGAUAGUAAACUGGUGCUGUCCAAGGCGGUUGGUAUUUUCCAUGAAUCAUUUGAUCCUAUCAUCCAAGCUGGGACUGGGCGAGACCUGAUUCCAGCCAUGGUCUAUGGGAGGAGCGUAAGGGAUCAAGAUUACACAGGGAUGUACUGUGCGGUGUUAACUGUCGGCAAGACGGUGGUUUCUGCUGGACUCUUCCGUGUGAUGGGCAACGUAGCCGCGGAGCUCCCCUUGGUCGCGACGAGCAGGGAUAACCAAGGCUUGGGGUACUUCCAGGCGCUGUUUGCGUGCAUCGAGCGGGUGCUGUCGUCCCUGAAGGUGAAGCACUUUGUGCUGCCGGCGGCGGAGGAGGCGGUGUUGAUCUGGACGCAGCGGUUCGGGUUUGGCAAGAUAACCCAGGACAAGCUGCUGGAGUACCUCAAGGGCGGGCGGCCGACGGUGUUCCAUGGCACGUCGACCCUGCACAAGCCUAUCCCGGUGGCUGAGGCGGAGGCGGAGGCGGAUGCGCGGGUGCCUGAGGAGGAGGAAGAAGCGCCGGAGGAGGAAGGAGAGCCGGUGCCCGAUGAGGAGGAAGGAGAGCCGGUGCCCGAGGAGGAGGAGGAGGAGUGA